CGGAGGGUGCAAGCGUUAAUCGGAAUUACUGGGCGUAAAGCGUGCGUAGGUGGUUUGUUAAGUUAGAUGUGAAAGCCCUGGGCUCAACCUAGGAACUGCAUUUAAAACUGGCAAACUAGAGUAUAGGAGAGGAAAGUGGAAUUUCAGGUGUAGCGGUGAAAUGCGUAGAUAUCUGAAGGAACAUCAAUGGCGAAGGCAGCUUUCUGGACUAAUACUGACACUGAGGUACGAAAGCGUGGGUAGCAAACAGGAUUAGAUACCCUGGUAGUCCACGCCGUAAACGAUGACAACUAGCCGUUGGGAGGAUUUACCUCUUAGUGGCGAAGCUAACGCGUUAAGUUGUCCGCCUGGGGAGUACGGCCGCAAGGUUAAAACUCAAAGGAAUUGACGGGGACCCGCACAAGCGGUGGAGCAUGUGGUUUAAUUCGAUGCAACGCGAAGAACCUUACCUGGUCUUGACAUACACGGAACUUUCCAGAGAUGGAUUGGUGCCUUCGGGAACCGUGAUACAGGUGCUGCAUGGCUGUCGUCAGCUCGUGUCGUGAGAUGUUGGGUUAAGUCCCGUAACGAGCGCAACCCUUAUCCUUAUUUGCCAGCACAUCAUGGUGGGAACUAUAAGGAGACUGCCGGUGAUAAACCGGAGGAAGGCGGGGACGACGUCAAGUCAUCAUGGCCCUUACGACCAGGGCUACACACGUGCUACAAUGGGAAGGACAAAGGGUCGCAACCUCGCGAGAGCAAGCUAAUCCCAUAAACCUUUUCGUAGUCCGGAUCGGAGUCUGCAACUCGACUCCGUGAAGUCGGAAUCGCUAGUAAUCGUAGAUCAGAACGCUACGGUGAAUACGUUCCCGGGUCUUGUACACACCGCCCGUCAUACCAUGGGAGUGGGUUGCACCAGAAGUAGCUAGUCUAACUGUUUACAGGGGACGG
RNAcentral lists this ribosomal RNA (930 nucleotides) under uncultured prokaryote. RNAcentral's name for it is "bacterial SSU rRNA". It matches the Rfam family "Bacterial small subunit ribosomal RNA", at positions 526 to 1453 of the family's 1533-position model. The record is from RNAcentral.